This 2294-nucleotide long non-coding RNA is filed under the name Daphnia magna. RNAcentral describes it as "uncharacterized LOC116932182, transcript variant X1". The record is from RNAcentral. Lineage: Eukaryota; Metazoa; Arthropoda; Branchiopoda; Diplostraca; Daphniidae.
CCCUUUUUUUUAACAUGACGCUACGGUCGUGUGAAUAGACAGAUAACCGUUACGAAUUCGCCUUACUCGAGAGCUCAUCGCGUCGUUUUCAAAUUUUGAUGUCACUUACCCUGCUAACAAAUUCAUUAUCACUGAUCUCGGGUUAUUGGUUACCUGUUUGCUUUGGCAAAUCGAUUUCUUUGCCUACCAACAAAUGUAAAACCAUGCGUCUUGAAGGCUGCAAAUUCGUUCGCCUUUUUGUUUAUAUGACACGUAAUUACGGCAUGUUAAAAACCGGUUUUACAACGGUUCGGUAAGCAGCCUCCAUUGUGUUCAUGAGCGAGAGCACUACAACACAGUACAAACAACGAAAAUGGAUGAAAAAAGCUUUGGCUGUACACAAAUCGACCGGAAAUACAUCGUCUCACGCACACGGUCUUUUAUGGAAAUACUUUUUUCCUCCCCCUUUUUUUUUUUUUAUUAUACACAACGCAGUAUUUCUGUUGGGUUUGUUCUGGGUGGUUCAGUGAGGAAACCGGAACCCUCGUUUGUAUAUAUGUUAGCCUUUACAAGAGGCCGCGCCCUGAUUUCUUUCUUUUCCAUUUCCUCAGCAUGAAAUAUUCAUGUUUCUGGGUCUUAAAACAGAUGCGCUCUUUGAGCUGUCUUUUUGUAAACAAAUACCCGCCGACAACUUGUGAGACAUGAUUCAUAUUGAAGUGAUGCUAGACCACCCACUGCGAUUUAGCAUUUUGUUGCAAAUGGAAGGGAAAAAAACGAUUAAAGCCUCCAGCAUGCACACGAUGAUCCCAGAGAAAUCACAGUUGCAUGGCACUUGUAAAGAAAAAAAAGGAAACAGUAUGGUAAAUGACGUCAAUGUAACAUCGUAAUGAUAAAAAGAAAAAUAUUUUCGAGGCAUGUGGAAAUUCGAGAUCUAUCGACUCCCUUUGGGAUAUCAUUUAUUUCUAAAUUUGAAACAUCGAGGCAGUUCUACAUCAAAACGCCAUCAGCUAGUUAGUUGGUUCUCACCAUUAUUAUUUUUUUUUAUGUGACUAAGCAAAUGUGUGGGUGCAAAGUCUUUUAGGUUACUCACACUUCCGUAUUGCUCUAUCUGCUUAACGAAUGGCUUUCCACUAUUUUCUGAUCAAAGGCAAUUGGAAGAAUUUAAAAAACCUUCGCCGACAACGCUGAUCAGUAACGGACACGAUAAAUAGUCAAACCACUUGGUAAUGAAUUCCACAUUUUUUUGCGCAUUUGCAGUUCGCAAAUGAUGGAAAAAAAUUGCUGUUGAUGGCUUAAAAUAUCCAGAACACCCAGUAGCCUGCAAUGGAAUAGGUCACGUUGCUGUCUAGCUAGGCAUUUUCUACGUUACGGAAAUUCGAUUUUUGAAAUUGACACAAACAUAUAAAGAAGCGCAAGACUGCUGAGAAAAUAAAAUGUAAAACAGUCAUAUGCAGAUAAAAAAUAUGCGUCGUUAAACUGUAAAGUCAACGGUAGAAUUUAUAGCCUGCACCCAGGAAAUAUGGCAUAGUUAUUGAUUUGAAAUACGCAUCCUUUAUAUUCAGAAACUUUGAGCAUCCAUAAAGGUGUCAAAUGACCGAGAACGAAAGGGAAACUAAUAUGGUAGCUGCGAAAUGGAUUGCAAAUGUAUCGAUAUGCAAAAAACGGCAUACUUGUGCGCAUCGCCAACUAAUGUGAAGAAACACAUAAAAAGGUAUAAGAUCGUGAAUUAUUGUCAAGAUGCAAAUGUCGCGUACCCACGACGACGUACUGCCCCAAAUAGUAAAAAAAAAUUACACGGAUUCAGUGUUCAUCAUUUCUACUCGUGUUACAGGAAGUAUCAAGUCCACAAGUACAGAGAGAUAAACCGUUAUGCUCGUAAAAAAUUUGGCUGGACUUCUUUAUCUCACAACACGGAAAUGUCAUGUGUGACGCGCUGCCCUUUUAAUAGGCAAGCAUGAAAUUUGUAACAAAAGUUGAAUACGAAUAAUUAUUUUUGAUAUGGUCAUCUCAACUUGUAGAAAUGUGAAUAAAGAUUAAUUGAGCGUAACAAAUACUAUCCCACUAUUAAAUUGUAUUGCUGGAACAGCAUCAAUCAUUUUCUACACCAAAAGACAUAUUUCUGACUAUAAUGAGCUGCAGGUCUUUAUUCAAUGUUCGAUUAAAAAAUCAUUGAGAAAACAGCAAUUUAUAAAAGGCCUAUAUAUAUAGUCAUUCCCUCCACAGAAAAGACUUGAGACGAACGACGUGGUUUCCAAUUAGUACAGGUUGCAAAAUUGCAAUAUAAAUGCUAGAAUCGAUUUGACGAUAUCAGUACA